RNAcentral lists this ribosomal RNA (439 nucleotides) under uncultured bacterium. RNAcentral describes it as "partial 16S ribosomal RNA". It matches the Rfam family "Bacterial small subunit ribosomal RNA", at positions 338 to 795 of the family's 1533-position model. The record is from RNAcentral.
CCUACGGGAGGCAGCAGUGGGGAAUAUUGCACAAUGGGCGAAAGCCUGAUCCAGCAACGCCGCGUGAGCGAUGAAGGCCUUCGGGUUGUAAAGCUCUGUCCUUAAGGAAGAUAAUGACGGUACUUGAGGCGGAAGCCCCGGCUAACUACGUGCCAGCAGCCGCGGUAAUACGUGGGGGGCUGGGGUUAUCCGGAUUUACGGGGCGUAAAGGGUGCGUCGGUGGUUUCUUAAGUCAGAGGUGAAAGGCUACGGCUCAACCGUAGUAGGCAUUUGAAACUGGGAAACUUGAGUGCAGGAGAGGUGGGUGGAAUUCCUAGUGUAGCGGUGAAAUGCGUAGAUAUUAGGAGGAACACCAGUUGCGAAGGCGGCUCUCUGGACUGUAACUGACGUUGAGGCUCGAAAGCGUGGGGAGCAAACAGGAUUAGAUACCCGUGUAGUC